GGAGAAGGAAGGAAGGAAGAAGAGCCAGUUGCUCAGCGAAGGAAGAGAGAACGGCCAAAUGGAAAUCAAGUGCCAAGAAGACCUCAGCCGAAUGUGACACUGAAGCAGAUCUACCCACAAGGCCUAGCAGUGGAAAGUUUUUGGGUGGUCGAGACACCCUACCCUCAUCCACUGAAUUUGAACAGAGGCUGGAGUUGAUGCGUGGAAAGUUAC
Oncorhynchus gorbuscha (pink salmon) is the source of this 213-nucleotide long non-coding RNA. RefSeq lists it as uncharacterized. The record is from RefSeq and is a predicted model, not a curated record. NCBI's taxonomy places the organism in Eukaryota, Metazoa, Chordata, Actinopteri, Salmoniformes, Salmonidae. The transcript is spliced from 3 exons.